This is a transfer RNA of Camelus ferus (Wild Bactrian camel), 73 nucleotides long. It matches the Rfam family "tRNA". Rfam says of the family: Transfer RNA (tRNA) molecules are approximately 80 nucleotides in length. Their secondary structure includes four short double-helical elements and three loops (D, anti-codon, and T loops). The record is from Rfam. NCBI's taxonomy places the organism in Eukaryota, Metazoa, Chordata, Mammalia, Artiodactyla, Camelidae.
GAGGGUAUAGCUCAAGUGGUAGAGAACAUGCUUAGCAUGCAUUAGGUCCUGGAUUCAAUCCCCAGUACCUCUU